RNAcentral lists this ribosomal RNA (253 nucleotides) under uncultured bacterium. RNAcentral describes it as "partial 16S ribosomal RNA". It matches the Rfam family "Bacterial small subunit ribosomal RNA", at positions 524 to 776 of the family's 1533-position model. RNAcentral also lists the same sequence under 1 other name. The record is from RNAcentral.
UACAGAGGUCUCAAGCGUUGAUCGGAAUUAUUGGGCUUAAAGGGUGCGUAGGCGGCGCUGUAAGUGCCUUGUGAAAUCCCAUGGCUCAACCAUGGAAUUGCUCGGUAGACUGCAGCGCUUGAGGUUGGUAGGGGUCGCUGGAACUCUAGGUGGAGCGGUGAAAUGCGUAGAUAUCUAGAGGAACGCCAAAGGUGAAGACAAGCGACUGGGCCAAUUCUGACGCUGAGGCACGAAAGCGUGGGUAGCGAACGGG